AUUGCUUCUUUUGGUGAAGAUCAAGUGCAGUAUCUGUUCUUAUCAGUUUAAUAUCUGAUAUGUCCUCUAUCUGAGGACAAUAUAUUAAAUAGAUUUUUGGAGCUGGGAGUUAGACUAGGAGCUUGCUUCAUCUACUUCAUGUAUCCACCUAGUAUUGCAAUACCAAUAUAAAGGUAUAAAAAAG
This is a small nuclear RNA of Sorex fumeus (smoky shrew), 184 nucleotides long. RefSeq annotates it as U2 spliceosomal RNA. The transcript has a single exon. The record is from RefSeq and is a predicted model, not a curated record. NCBI's taxonomy places the organism in Eukaryota, Metazoa, Chordata, Mammalia, Eulipotyphla, Soricidae.